UACGUAGGGUGCAAGCGUUGUCCGGAAUUAUUGGGCGUAAAGAGCUCGUAGGCGGCUUGUCGCGUCGGCUGUGAAAACCUGGGGCUCAACCCCGGGCCUGCAGCCGAUACGGGCAAGCUAGAAUUCGGUAGGGGAGACUGGAAUUCCAGGUGUAGCGGUGAAAUGCGUAGAUAUCUGGAGGAAUACCGGUGGCGAAGGCGGCAUCCUGGACCGACAUUGACGCUGAGGAGCGAAAGCUAGGGGAGCAAACGGG
This 253-nucleotide ribosomal RNA is filed under the name uncultured bacterium. RNAcentral describes it as "partial 16S ribosomal RNA". It matches the Rfam family "Bacterial small subunit ribosomal RNA", at positions 524 to 776 of the family's 1533-position model. The record is from RNAcentral.